This 73-nucleotide transfer RNA is filed under the name Camelus bactrianus (Bactrian camel). It matches the Rfam family "tRNA". Rfam says of the family: Transfer RNA (tRNA) molecules are approximately 80 nucleotides in length. Their secondary structure includes four short double-helical elements and three loops (D, anti-codon, and T loops). Further hydrogen bonds mediate the characteristic L-shaped molecular structure. tRNAs have two regions of fundamental functional importance: the anti-codon, which is responsible for specific mRNA codon recognition, and the 3' end, to which the tRNAs corresponding amino acid is attached (by aminoacyl-tRNA synthetases). tRNAs cope with the degeneracy of the genetic code in two manners: having more than one tRNA (with a specific anti-codon) for a particular amino acid; and 'wobble' base-pairing, i.e. permitting non-standard base-pairing at the 3rd anti-codon position. RNAcentral also lists the same sequence under 2 other names. Lineage: Eukaryota; Metazoa; Chordata; Mammalia; Artiodactyla; Camelidae. The record is from Rfam by way of RNAcentral.
GAGGGUAUAGCUCAAGUGGUGGAGUGCAUGCUUAGAACACUUGAGGCCCUGGGUUCAAUCCCCAGUACCGCCU